This is a non-coding RNA of Cinara cedri, 242 nucleotides long. Lineage: Eukaryota; Metazoa; Arthropoda; Insecta; Hemiptera; Aphididae. The record is from the annotation of a GenBank genome assembly.
AUUAUGGUGGCCCUGAAAAGGACCGUUUUAAAACCUUAAAAUUAAUUUGACGAGACCACGUGAUACCCUUUUUAGCAGUGUAGCGCACACAAUUUUGAGCUGAUUAACCUCCGAAAUCGUACAAAGUACGGCCUUGGCGUUUAAGAGCGUAGACGACGUCCAUGGNGGUCACAGUCUUUCUCUUAGCGUGCUCGGUGUAGGUGACGGCGUCUCGAAUCACGUUUUCCAAAAACAUUUAUAAA